Artibeus jamaicensis (Jamaican fruit-eating bat) is the source of this 1221-nucleotide long non-coding RNA. RefSeq lists it as uncharacterized. The transcript has 3 exons. The record is from RefSeq and is a predicted model, not a curated record. NCBI's taxonomy places the organism in Eukaryota, Metazoa, Chordata, Mammalia, Chiroptera, Phyllostomidae.
CUCCCUCCGCGCGCGGCCGGGCGAGGGGCGGGGGCCGGGGGCGGUAUCUUAGGCGGAGGCUUCUUGGUAGCAGGUGCCGGCGGCGGAGCCCGGCAGGCGGCCCUUUCACUCUUUCCAAUCGGCGGGAAUCCUCCCUAGCCCACCUCCUCCACUCGGAUCCACGCUUUGGGAGAGUGGGGUUGAUCCCCAAAGUGACCUCUCCCGCCCUCCACAGAGAGAGGAAGGAGAAACGAAGACUCCUCUUUCCCCUACCUGGUAGGUGGGUGGGGAUACUGAGGCAGCGGUGGGCAGAAAGGCUGGGGGAGGAAGGAUCCAAGUGCUCUGUUCCAGACUGACACAGAAGAAAGGGCUCGGAGUUCCAGAAGUUCGUGGUGAUCUGUAAUGGCAUAUCCGGCCUGGAGCGCCUCAUCCUCCCUCCAGAGGCGCAUUAAAAACUUGUUCGGCCCACUGGAGCCUCCCCAGUGUCCGGUGGUGACUGUAUCUGGGACACACGCGUGACGGUGUUGGAACAGGCAGCCCCAGAGGUGAAGAUGUGAGCCACACGUUAAGUUGGGGCAAGAGCUGGGCAGGAACCCAGGUGACUGUUUCUCGGUUGCCGGCUUUUUUCAAUACAUGGUGACGUUUUGUCUGACCCUGCUCCCCCCGGCCCCCCCCACCUUCCUCUAUUAUUUAUCUUAAUGAAAGGUCCAGAUUCGGGAACUUCUGUCUUUACAGUCACAGAGUUGGUUAGAACACAAAGAAACGAAAAAUUCUGACAGACGAGGCCAGAGGCAAAGCAAGCUCUCAAUCUUUACUCCAAAGAAUCUUCUGGAAACGACAGGACCCAUGGGGAACACCCACCUGGUUUUCUCCUGGUUGGUGUAAAUCUUCACCCGGUUGGCAGUAAAGCAGAAUCUGAAAUUUAGUAGAAAAGACCACAUUUCAGAAAGAAUAAGGGGAAAAAAUCAUAUUAAAAAAACAGCACUUUGAAAAUAUUAGUUAGCUCAUUGCACACUUAGUACUGUUGCCCUGCUAUACAGGUAUUAUGUUGAACCCUAAAAUAUUUGAGCUGGACAAGACCUCAAGUCAUCACCCAGUCUGAGCGAUGCAGUUUCAUCCAGGUGCCAGGAAAAUUGUGCUUUAUUAAUAGCCAUUCAUUUCAUUGGACAAUUUGAGACCAUCUCAUCUUACUGAAGGGAACUGAGAAAGCCUCCUUUAUCGAGUAGGUGAUAAUAGAUCAUU